This 253-nucleotide ribosomal RNA is filed under the name uncultured microorganism. Its description in RNAcentral is "partial 16S ribosomal RNA". It matches the Rfam family "Bacterial small subunit ribosomal RNA", at positions 524 to 776 of the family's 1533-position model. The record is from RNAcentral.
UACGGAGGGGGCGAGCGUUGUUCGGAUUUACUGGGCGUAAAGCGUGCGCAGGCGGCCCGUUAAGACAGGUGUGAAAUCCCUGGGCUCAACCUAGGAAUUGCGCUUGUGACUGGCGGGCUCGAGUACGGUAGAGGGGGGUGGAAUUCCUGGUGUAGCAGUGAAAUGCGUAGAGAUCAGGAGGAACACCGAUGGCGAAGGCAGCCCCCUGGGCCUGUACUGACGCUCAUGCACGAAAGCGUGGGGAGCAAACAGG